CAGACGGGUGAGUAACGCGUGGUCAACCUACCGUUGGGUGGGGGGAUAACUAGCCGAAAGGUUAGCUAAUACCGCAUACGUCUCCGAGGGGCAUCCCUUGGCGAUAAAAGGAGCAAUCCGCUCGAUGACGGGACCGCGUCCCAUUAGCUAGAUGGUGGGGUAACGGCCUACCAUGGCACCGAUGGGUAGCUGGUUUGAGAGAGCGACCAGCCACACUGGGACUGAGAAACGGCCCAG
This 237-nucleotide ribosomal RNA is filed under the name uncultured bacterium. RNAcentral describes it as "partial 16S ribosomal RNA". It matches the Rfam family "Bacterial small subunit ribosomal RNA", at positions 99 to 334 of the family's 1533-position model. The record is from RNAcentral.